Molecule: ribosomal RNA, 424 nt
Filed under: Augacephalus junodi
Lineage: Eukaryota; Metazoa; Arthropoda; Arachnida; Araneae; Theraphosidae
Description: partial 16S ribosomal RNA
Rfam family: Bacterial large subunit ribosomal RNA
Source: RNAcentral
UUCUAAUCGCUUUACAAUUAGUAAAACCUGCUCAAUGAAAACCUUUAACAGCCGCAUUUUGUGCUAAGGUAGCAUAAUAAUUUGCCUGAUAAUUUCAGGAUAGAAUGAACGGUUAUACAUGAAACUUACUUUAUUAAUUUUAUCUUUUUGAAAUUUACAUAAGAGUAAAAAGGCUCUUAUAACAAGAGGGACGACAAGACCCUGACGAACUUCACUUUAGUUUGGCUGGGGCGGCAAAAAACUACAGCUUUACUUCUAUCAUUUAAAAUCCUUUCUUAUGAAUCUCAGUUACCGCAGGGAUAACAGCAUAAUUCGCUUUAAGAGACCUUAUCAAAAAGCAAGCUUGUGACCUCGAUGUUGAAUAAAAUUCUCCUAAGGGCAGAACCUUAGAAUAGAAAGUCUGUUCGACUUUUAAUUAUUUACA